Molecule: transfer RNA, 65 nt
Filed under: Macaca fascicularis (crab-eating macaque)
Lineage: Eukaryota; Metazoa; Chordata; Mammalia; Primates; Cercopithecidae
Also listed under: 2 other names
Description: tRNA (ENSMFAG00000064764.1)
Source: RNAcentral
UGGUAAGUAGUUUAAACAAAAUAAAUGAUUUCGACUCAUUAGAUUAUGAUAACCAUACUAACCAA